GAUGAACGCUAGCGGCAGGCUUAACACAUGCAAGUCGAGGGGCAGCGAGAGGUAGCAAUACUUUGUCGGCGACCGGCGGAAGGGUGCGUAACACGUGAGCAACUUGCCCGUAUCUGGGACAUAAGCGGUGGAAACGCCGUCUAAUUUCCCAUAACAACAGGGAAGACAUCUUCUUUGUUUGAAAGCUAUGGCGGAUACGGAUAGGCUCGCGGGACAUUAGCUAGUUGGAGUGGUAACGGCACACCAAGGCGACGAUGUCUAGGGGUUCUGAGAGGAAGGUCCCCCACAUUGGAACUGAGACACGGUCCAAACUC
This 314-nucleotide ribosomal RNA is filed under the name uncultured bacterium. RNAcentral's name for it is "bacterial SSU rRNA". It matches the Rfam family "Bacterial small subunit ribosomal RNA", at positions 28 to 338 of the family's 1533-position model. The record is from RNAcentral.